UAUACAACUUCCAGUGGAAUCAUGGCAGAAGUCACAGAUACAUCCCCCUCUACUGUUUUGUUCACUACAGUUGCGUCAGAGCAAGAAACAAACACAACAUUUACUGAGACAUCAGUGGCAGAAACAUCUACAGAUACAUCUUCUGCAACUACUACAACCGAAGUAUUAUCUUCAGUAAGCACAACGCCUCUGAUUGUACCAG
Long non-coding RNA from Rana temporaria (common frog), 202 nucleotides. RefSeq lists it as uncharacterized. NCBI's taxonomy places the organism in Eukaryota, Metazoa, Chordata, Amphibia, Anura, Ranidae. The transcript is spliced from 3 exons. The record is from RefSeq and is a predicted model, not a curated record.